CUCUGACGGCGAAUGCCAAAUCGGGGAGUUUUCAGGGUAAAAGUCACAAAUUCAGAUGUGAUGGUUGAGUAAAUCACUUUGCUCACUCAGGACAGAAGUGUGACCUGUACUUAAUGUAAACUCCCUGGAGCAUCACAAGGUGGGUUGGUGUAAUAAAUCUUUUCCCACACGUGGAACAGGUGAAUGUUAUCUCCCCAGUGUGAACUUUCUGGUAUGAUUGUGUGAAUCCCUUCCAAACUGAGAGCCAGUGAUUGACAUCUCACUGCUAUCAACUCUCUGGGAAUUUACCAGCUCAGAUCACAGACAUGUACACGUAUUUGGGUUCUCCUUGUUACAAUUGGUGAGUUGUCUUCCAAACAUCUCCUCCCCCACAUUCAGGGAUCGGUGGCUUUCAAAUGCUGGUGAACAGACAGACACAACAGAACGGACGAUCUGUUGUGUUUGAGAUUCCCAUGCACAAAUCCUUUGUCUUUUCUACCUUGUAAAAAGUUUACAGUGGACGUCUGUGGGUGAAGGACAACAUUUCAGAUAAUGUUAGUCCCUAUGGUGAUGUCUCAUGUCAAACCGUUGCAGUGAGGCUCAUCACAGUUUGGAGGAACACUUUAUCUUCUCACUGGACACAGUUCAGGCAUCUGGACGCAACUCAGAGUCAGCAAUGCCAUUGACCCUCAAGAGUAGAUGAUGAUUCUUUCUCUUUGGAGAUUGACUCUGUGUGGUACUUUUGUGGUGUGGUUGCCACUGGUCGCUUGUUACUCAGUACGUUGAUAUGUACCUGGAGAGAAUAGAAAACAAACAUGGUCUCAGUGGCAGACAGUCAGAACCACAGGAUGUUGAACAAAGUGAUUUCCUAAAUGAGCAAAAGUGACACAAUGAUUUGUCGACUGUCCACUCCUCCCAGAGACGCUUCCUGACCCGCUGAGUUCCCCCAGUGUUCGUGAGUGGCUGGAAUAAGUGGGUCGAUUUCAGACUGGAAGGAGGUAAUGCUUGGAGUACCCUAGGGAUCGGCUCUUGGCCUCAGUUGUUCACUGUUUAAUGACCAUGAGGAGGGAAGGAGAUGUGAGAUGUCCAAGUCUGCUAAUGACACAGAGACAGUGGAAGGAAAUCUGAUGCUGACAUUGUGAUUCUACAUCAAGUGAUUCAGAAGGCAGACUUACUGCACAGGGAAUGGAGUUUAUGAACGGGGCAGUGUAGUUACCAUUGUAGACGGUGUUGGUGAGGACACAUCUGGAAUUCUGUGCAUGGUUUUGUUCCCUGACCUGAAAGAAACAAUGAGAGUGACAUUGGAGUCAGUCCAGAGGAGAUUCAGCAGGGAAAUUCCUGGGAUGAUUUACCAGCAGAGGGAAGACAAUUUUGGCCAGGAUUUAUAGUCACAUACAGUCAGAAGGGGGCCUGAUAGAAUAUCUGUUGGUAUAUCUUGAUAGGCUAUUUCUCUUCACCACUGAGAGAGCCAUUGACCCGGGUCAAAUUUCUGGGACUGUAUGUGUGAGUGAACAAUCUCUGGGAUUCUCUGCCCCUGAGGAUGGGGAGGCCAGCUCACUGGGAAUAUUUGAAGUGGAGAUAGAUAAAUAUUUAAGGGAGUGAAGACCUGAGGAGAAGGGUGAUGGAACACAAGCUGGAAUCAGCAUAAAUCAGUCAUAAUUGUGAAUAACCAUAAGACAUAGGAGCAGAAAUGGACCAUUUGGCCCAUCACAUCUGCUAUGCCAUUUCAUUACAUUUGAUUAAUUAUCCCUCUCAAUUCUAUUUCCCUGCCUUUCCCCAUAACCCUUGAUGGCCCGACUAAUUAAGAACCUAUCAACUUCCACUUUAAAUAUAGCAAAUGACUUGGUCUCCACAGCUGACUGUGGCAAUCAAUUUCACAGAUACACAAUACUCUGGCUGCAGAAAGUCCACCACAUACCUGUUCUAAAUCGACAUCCUUCUGAGUCUCUGGUCCUAGAUUCCCCCAUUAUAGGAACCAUCCUCUCCAUAUCCACUGUCGGCCUUUCAAUAUUGGUGAACCUUUCAUUUUUCUAAACAAGUACCGGCCCAAAGCCAUGAAAUGCUCCGUCUGUAUUAACCCCUUUCAGUCCUGGAAUCAUUUUCAUGAACCUCCUCUGGAUCCUCAAUGCCACUCACCCCUGACUCCGGAACAAUCUGUUACACCUACCCCUAUGUCUGGUAUGCCUCAAUCCCCUCCUCCAAGUAUCCUGAAACAUCAUCCUCAAUAAUGGACACUAACAUCUUCCCAACCACUGAUAUCAGGCUAACUGGCCUGGAAUUUCAUUUCUUUGCCUUUCUCCCUUCUGAAAGACUGGACUAAAACUUCCCAUUUUCCAGUCCUCUAGAACUGUUCCAGAAUCUAGUGACUCUUAAUCAGUCUUCGGUAAUACCUGCACAAUCUCUUCAGUGACCUUUUUCUGAACCGUAAUGAACGGAGCUCAUCACCCGUCAGUGUGAGCGAGAGAUCGGGGCUGCCGGGAGUUCACACUGGAUAAGAUAAGUAUGGAGCUACUAUUGUGUUUUCUUGCAGAUAUCGUUUUGUAAAUAUUGGUAUUUUUCUUUUUACUAUUUUCAUGAAUUUUUGAUGGACCUAAUAAACACCCUUGCACUAAAGUGCUAACCGAUUCGAGCCAUUUUCUCUUUAGUCACAACCUACGUUUCUAACACAUGCCUUUUCUAUCUCCGAUUGUAACAGGUCAUACCUUCCUCAGAAAAGAUUCCAAUGAUCCAGAAAUCUGAAACCAUAUACCUGCACAAAAAAACUUGUGGUAUCUAUGUGACAUCGAGAAUAAUGAAGAACAGUUAAGGAUAUGACAUUAUCAAAGAGUAUAUAUUCUUCAAAGUAUUCAUAGGAUUAUGUCAUGGUUAGGCAGAUUCAUAAGCACAUUUACGUGAUUUGAAAUAUUCUGUUAAUGAUCGACUUUAAAACUGUAAAAAAAGAUUUGUUAUGAAAAGGCAUAUUAGCAUGAAUAAUAUGACUUGUGAUAUUAAUAUUAAGUGACCCAGACUUCCGAGAUUCCAAUGAAUCCAAUCAAAGAAAUCCCAGCCAUCACUGCAAAGUUCUAAGUAAAUUUAUUAUCAAAGUACAGAUUUGUCACCAUGGGGCUGAAGAGGAGAGAAAGGAUCUGACAUGAUUAAAUGGUGGAGCAGACUCAAUGGGUGAAAUGGCCUAAUUCUGCUCUGUCUUAUGGUCUUAUAUCCAACCCUGAGAUAUAUUUUCUUGUGGGCAUAUUCAAUAAAUAACAACCAUAAAGAUUCAAUGAAAGACAGUA
Long non-coding RNA from Hypanus sabinus (Atlantic stingray), 3251 nucleotides. RefSeq lists it as uncharacterized. NCBI's taxonomy places the organism in Eukaryota, Metazoa, Chordata, Chondrichthyes, Myliobatiformes, Dasyatidae. The transcript has 2 exons. The record is from RefSeq and is a predicted model, not a curated record.